GGAGUUAGCCGGUGCUUCUUCUGUGAGUGAUGUCCUUCCUGCCGGCUAUUAACCCGCAGGCCUUCUUCCUCACUGAAAGUGCUUUACAACCCGAAGGCCUUCUUCACACACGCGGCAUGGCUGGAUCAGGGUUGCCCCCAUUGUCCAAUAUUCCCCACUGCUGCCUCCCGUAGGAGUCUGGGCCGUGUAUCAGUCCCAGUGUGGCUGAUCAUCCUCUCAGACCAGCUACGGAUCGUCGCCUUGGUGAGCCGUUACCUCACCAACCAGCUAAUCCGACAUAGGCUCAUCCGAUAGCGCGAGGCCCGAAGGUCCCCCGNUUUCCCCCGUAGGGCGUAUGCGGUAUUAGCCUGGGUUUCCCCAGGUUAUCCCCCACUACCGGGCAGAUUCCUAUGCAUUACUCACCCGUCCGCCGCUCGCCACCAGGGAGCAAGCUCCCCGUGCUGCCGCUCGACUUGCAUGUGUUAGGCCUGCCGCCAGCGUUCAAUCUGAGCCAGGAUCAAACUCUGA
This 507-nucleotide ribosomal RNA is filed under the name uncultured bacterium. Its description in RNAcentral is "partial 16S ribosomal RNA". The record is from RNAcentral.